RNAcentral lists this ribosomal RNA (1164 nucleotides) under Staphylococcus saprophyticus. RNAcentral describes it as "bacterial SSU rRNA". It matches the Rfam family "Bacterial small subunit ribosomal RNA", at positions 41 to 1211 of the family's 1533-position model. The record is from RNAcentral. Lineage: Bacteria; Bacillati; Bacillota; Bacilli; Caryophanales; Staphylococcaceae.
UGCUUUCCUACGUCUAUACAUGCAGUCGAGCGACAGAUAAGGAGCUUGCUCCUUUGACGUUAGCGGCGGACGGGUGAGUAACACGUGGGUAACCUACCUAUAAGACUGGGAUAACUUCGGGAAACCGGAGCUAAUACCGGAUAACAUUUGGAACCGCAUGGUUCUAAAGUGAAAGAUGGUUUUGCUAUCACUUAUAGAUGGACCCGCGCCGUAUUAGCUAGUUGGUAAGGUAACGGCUUACCAAGGCAACGAUACGUAGCCGACCUGAGAGGGUGAUCGGCCACACUGGAACUGAGACACGGUCCAGACUCCUACGGGAGGCAGCAGUAGGGAAUCUUCCGCAAUGGGCGAAAGCCUGACGGAGCAACGCCGCGUGAGUGAUGAAGGGUUUCGGCUCGUAAAACUCUGUUAUUAGGGAAGAACAAACGUGUAAGUAACUGUGCACGUCUUGACGGUACCUAAUCAGAAAGCCACGGCUAACUACGUGCCAGCAGCCGCGGUAAUACGUAGGUGGCAAGCGUUAUCCGGAAUUAUUGGGCGUAAAGCGCGCGUAGGCGGUUUCUUAAGUCUGAUGUGAAAGCCCACGGCUCAACCGUGGAGGGUCAUUGGAAACUGGGAAACUUGAGUGCAGAAGAGGAAAGUGGAAUUCCAUGUGUAGCGGUGAAAUGCGCAGAGAUAUGGAGGAACACCAGUGGCGAAAGGCGACUUUCUGGUCUGUAACUGACGCUGAUGUGCGAAAGCGUGGGGAUCAAACAGGAUUAGAUACCCUGGUAGUCCACGCCGUAACGAUGAGUGCUAAGUGUUAGGGGGUUUCCCGCCCCUUAGUGCUGCAGCUAACGCAUUAAGCACUCCGCCUGGGGGAGUACGACCGCAAGGUUGAAACUCAAAGGAAUUUGACGGGACCCGCACAAGCGUGGAGCAUGGGGUUUAUUUCGAAGCAACGCGAGAACUUACUAAUCUUGGACAUCCUUUGAAAACUUUAGAGAAUGAGCCUUCCCCCUUCGGGGACAAUGGACAGUGUUGCAUUGUUUUCCGUCAGUCUGUCUGGAAUGUGGGUAAGGUUCCCGCACAGGCGCACCCUAAGCUUAAGUGCAUCAUAAGUGGGGACUUAGGUGACUGCGUCAAUCGGAAGUGAUAGCCUUAAUCUCAUGCCUUUAGGAAUUG